UAUACGACCGUACCGCAAACCGACACUGGUGCGCGAGAUGAGUAUUCUAAGGCGCUUGAGAGAACUCAGGAGAAGGAACUCGGCAAAUUGACACCGUAACUUCGGAAGAAGGUGUGCCCUAUUAGUGUGUAGUGAACAACGAAGCAUGAAUGGGUUGCAAAAAAUCGGUGGCUGCGACUGUUUAUUAAAAACACAGCACUCUGCAAACACGAAAGUGGACGUAUAGGGUGUGACGCCUGCCCGGUGCUGGAAGAUUAAAUGAUGGGGUGCAAGCUCUUGAUUGAAGUCCCAGUAAACGGCGGCCGUAACUAUAACGGUCCUAAGGUAGCGAAAUUUCUUGUCGGGUAAGUUCCGACCUGCACGAAUGGCGUAACGAUGGCCACACUGUCUCCUCCUGAGACUCAGCGAAGUUGAAAUGUUUGUGAUGAUGCAAUCUCCCCGCGGAAAGACGGAAAGACCCCAUGAACCUUUACUGUAGCUUUGUAUUGGACUUUGAACAGAUCUGUGUAGGAUAGGUGGGAGGCUUUGAAGCAGGGUCGCUAGAUCUUGUGGAGCCAACGUUGAAAUACCACCCUGGUGUGUUUGAGGUUCUAACCUAGGUCCAUUAUCUGGAUCGGGGACAGUGCAUGGUAGGCAGUUUGACUGGGGCGGUCUCCUCCCAAAGCGUAACGGAGGAGUUCGAAGGUACGCUAGUUACGGUCGGACAUCGUGACGAUAGUGCAAUGGCAUAAGCGUGCUUAACUGCGAGACUGACAAGUCGAGCGGAUGCGAAAGCAGGACAUAGUGAUCCGGUGGUUCUGUAUGGAAGGGCCAUCGCUCAACGGAUAAAAGGUACUCUGGGGAUAACAGGCUGAUACCGCCCAAGAGUUCAUAUCGACGGCGGUGUUUGGCACCUCGAUGUCGGCUCAUCUCAUCCUGGGGCUGUAGCCGGUCCCAAGGGUAUGGCUGUUCGCCAUUUAAAGAGGUACGUGAGCUGGGUUUAAAACGUCGUGAGACAGUUUGGUCCCUAUCUUCCGUGGGCGCUGCAGAUUUGAGGAAGCCUGCUCCUAGUACGAGAGGACCGGAGUGGACACACCUCUGGUGUAUCGGUUGUCACGCCAGUGGCAUUGCCGAGUAGCUAAGUGUGGAAGAGAUAACCGCUGAAAGCAUCUAAGCGGGAAACUCGUUUCAAGAUGAGAUCUGCCGGGGCCUUGAGCCCCCCUGAAGAGUCGUUCAAGACCAGGACGUUGAUAGGUCAGGUGUGGAAGUGA
This 1250-nucleotide ribosomal RNA is filed under the name metagenome. RNAcentral's name for it is "bacterial LSU rRNA". It matches the Rfam family "Bacterial large subunit ribosomal RNA", at positions 1635 to 2876 of the family's 2925-position model. The record is from RNAcentral.